GACGAACGCUGGCGGCGUGCUUAACACAUGCAAGUCGAACGGAAAGGCCCUGCUUUUGUGGGGUGCUCGAGUGGCGAACGGGUGAGUAACACGUGAGUAACCUGCCCUUGACUUUGGGAUAACUUCAGGAAACUGGGGCUAAUACCGGAUAGGAGCUCCUGCUGCAUGGUGGGGGUUGGAAAGUUUCGGCGGUUGGGGAUGGACUCGCGGCUUAUCGGCUUGUUGGUGAGGUAGUGGCUUACCAAGGCUUUGACGGGUAGCCGGCCUGAGAGGGUGACCGGCCACAUUGGGACUGAGAUACGGCCCAGACUCCUACGGGAGGCAGCAGUGGGGAAUAUUGCACAAUGGGCGGAAGCCUGAUGCAGCAACGCCGCGUGCGGGAUGACGGCCUUCGGGUUGUAAACCGCUUUCGCCUGUGACGAAGCGUGAGUGACGGUAAUGGGUAAAGAAGCACCGGCUAACUACGUG
This 468-nucleotide ribosomal RNA is filed under the name uncultured bacterium. Its description in RNAcentral is "partial 16S ribosomal RNA". It matches the Rfam family "Bacterial small subunit ribosomal RNA", at positions 28 to 507 of the family's 1533-position model. The record is from RNAcentral.